Molecule: non-coding RNA, 69 nt
Organism: Rattus norvegicus (Norway rat)
Lineage: Eukaryota; Metazoa; Chordata; Mammalia; Rodentia; Muridae
Source: Rfam
GGAGAUUUAGCUCAGUGGUAGAGCACUUGCCUAGCAAGCGCAAGGCCCUGGGUUCGGUCCCCAGCUCUG